AACGCACAUUGCGCCCUUUGGUAUUCCGAGGGGCAUGCCUGUUCGAGCGUCAUUUUAAAAUCUCAGGCCCUAGAAGGCUUGGUGUUGGGCUGUCAUAACCUCUUGCAUUGGGCUGGUUAUGUGCCUGAAAAUCAGUGGCAGUGCCUAGAAUGACCUCAAGCAUAGUGGACACUCUUGUGCUUGGAGGCUUCAUUAAGGAUUGCUUGCCUUUUAACUGCUUUUGACAAAGGUUUGACCUCGGAUCAGGUAGGGAUACCCGCUGAACUUAA
RNAcentral lists this unclassified non-coding RNA (269 nucleotides) under uncultured Geoglossales. RNAcentral describes it as "sequence contains 5.8S rRNA gene, ITS2, 28S rRNA gene". Lineage: Eukaryota; Fungi; Ascomycota; Geoglossomycetes. The record is from RNAcentral.